Danio rerio (zebrafish) is the source of this 2537-nucleotide non-coding RNA. Lineage: Eukaryota; Metazoa; Chordata; Actinopteri; Cypriniformes; Danionidae. The record is from RefSeq and is a predicted model, not a curated record.
CAAACUCAGGCAGGAUGUCAUCCAGCACACCUGUCCUACCUGGAGAAGGGAGAAGAUCAGACAUGAACAGCAGCAGCGAGAGGCAGGACUGCACUGGAGGCCCUGGCAUCCUCGGGCCCCUGAAACCCCCUUUGUUGCUAUGGAAACGGCUUAAGAAGUGGCUUAUAUUGCUCAUGUUGAUAACGGCCAGUUAUUUACUCUUUGUCUGGCAUGAGGCGUCUGACUUUGCUUUGUCCAGUUGACACACAAAUAACUUAUUCUGUUAGAGUCUGUUCCACAGCACCAAGCAUAUUGUUUCUCUCCCCAGUGAUCCUGUCCAGGAUGUGUGAAAUAUGUGAGGUUGUCUUGAUAUGCUGGGGCACAAAUGAACAAUAGCGUCUCUUAUUAAGGAUCUGAGCCCUGUCGAGAGGCAUGCGCCGUUUGCUCGUCACUAUGGUAGCACUUGUCAUCAGAAAUGAUCACCUUACAGAAAUACACACCGCUGUCGCCCCACUGCAGCUGUCCAAUGUGCAGAUCUGCUUCUGAAAUGCCAAUGACGGUUCUACAUGUUAACUCAGACAAACUCCCUCGGACAUGAGCACAAAGAGAAGCGACAUGUGGAAUAUACCAAACAAACUAGCCUGACAGAUGCUCAUCGAGAUCCUGAUGCUGCCCAGCGUCAACCAUCGGCUUGGUGUGUCCUAUAAACUUAUAUAUAAUAGUGCCCUGCCACAAACAAUAAACUUUCAUAUAAAUGCACAGUACCCUUUCAUCUAUAAAAAAAGAAAAACAUUUAGAUCAAUUGCCACACUAAUUGUGAAUGGUGCAAAUACUGAACAUAAAAUAAUGCAUCACACUGUAAAAUUUAAAUACUCCCAUGCCAUAUUUUUACAUCUGAAACGAAAACUUCUGCAACUGCACAUGCAAUAAGGUAAUUCACAAACAUAACUGGCUUUGCAUUUUUGCCACAAACUUCUCAUUCUUUGAAAACUGUCCAUACUUUUUUUUAAAGGGGGUUUGGAACUGGCACAAGCUCUUAGUAAAUGUGUGCCUUAAUGUUUCUAAUCAGAAAACACAACACAUCACUCAUACUCAUUAUCUAUGUGUAAUAUUUUGCCUGAACAAUCAUAGUCUUUGUUGGAGAGGUGGCUGGAGGAGGGAGAGCUUUGAUGGCUAAAGUCAGAGGAGAGGGUGUUUGCUUUUGAUAAGGAAAGCUGUGGGGGUGUUUUGUGAAACCUUUAUGAGGUCCAUCCCCCUGACCAUUGUGCGACCUAGAAAAAAACAACCCUAUUUAAGGAACAGGAAAACACAGCACAAUCGACUGGGUUUCCUAAGGGGCAGAUGAAUUACACACAAGAUUGCAGACUGGAGCGUAGAAGAGGCUCAAAAUUUAAUAACAAUGUAACAAGAUGAGUUUAUUACACAGUGGCCCCGAGAAGUAUUUGAACCAUUAAGCCACAGACUAAAUAUCAUUUUAUGAAUUCCAUUGAAUUAAAUUAGGCUGGGGCUUUUCUCAGAACCAAUGUGAUUUUUCUUGUCAUUGCCAUUUUGCAAUUAUUUUAACCACCUGAUCCCUGGGCCAUGUUUGUGUAUGUAUGAAGUCAUUUCUCCCCAUGAGCUCACUGUGUAACCCCAGGUGUGGUUUAUUGUUUAGUAUAUACAGCAAUCAUGCUGUUUAAAAGUGUGCAGUCGGAAGAUACAUUUUUAUAAUCAUUUCUUUUUCUCAGAAUAAAUAAUAAAAAGACUGUAGAAUAAUACAUUUCUGUUAUGAACGCUCUCUGGAUUUAGUAUGGUAAUGAAUAUUUAUAUGGCAAUGUUGAUGUGUUUAGUCUUAGAUCUGCUAUUAUAUGGCAGAGCAACAGAGACCUGCUACUGCCAGUAUAUACACAGACAUAUCAUCUGAAAAUAUAACGCUGCUCCUGUAAACAUAAUUUAUGUAACCCCCAUAGCAGAUCCAACACUGGUGGAGCUGGGGUGGAGGAGGGUCUCUGUAAACGUGCUGCAGCUUAACAGCGUAAUACAACAUGGAGCAUUUAUACUGAUGAGGAGCAAGCUCGUUGGCUUCCGAGGUGGAGGCAACCGAUGUCCUGCACCAUGUACUUAAUGACGCAGGAGCAGAUUAGGCGACCUAUCAGCCUGUGCGCUCAUAGAGUUUCAUGGCAGAAAUUUCUCUUACUGUAGAAUGUUUCAAAAUAUCCAUUCCAUUUCAAACUGAUUAUGUUCUUUUGAAUGUUUUUUGAAUCCAAAGAGGGAAUGGGGGCAUGUUCAACAAAAAUCAUUAUGCACCAUACAUUUAAAAUAAUUGUUAAUAAAUUCUUCAGCACCUGUCACAAUCAACUACAAUUCUGCCACCGUAUGAACUACAACUCCCUUCAGGCACCACAUACACACCUGUCCUAGUUCUCCAUUGAUUACACACACACAGCUGGGAGCUACUCAAGACUCAUUACAUGGACCCUAUCAGUGAUUAACCCUUGCCAAAGACUAUUGACCUUAUUCUAAAAUGCGGAAGUGCGCCUGUUUUUGCGAUUGUCUUAGAACUUCCGAUUCAGUCGCCU